RNAcentral lists this ribosomal RNA (117 nucleotides) under Sinocyclocheilus rhinocerous. The record is from RNAcentral. Lineage: Eukaryota; Metazoa; Chordata; Actinopteri; Cypriniformes; Cyprinidae.
UACCACAGUCAUAUCACCCUACAGCCCAAGACUGGUUGCCCACUGAAGCUAAGCAGGGUUGAGCCUGGUCAGUACCUGGAUGGGAAACCUCCUGGGAAAAUUAGGUUGCUGUUGGAA